UACAGAGGUCUCAAGCGUUGUUCGGAUUCAUUGGGCGUAAAGGGUGCGUAGGUGGCGGGGUAAGUCAGGUGUGAAAUCUCGGGGCUCAACCCCGAAACUGCACUUGAUACUGCCUUGCUCGAGUACUGGAGAGGAGAUUGGAAUUUACGGUGUAGCAGUGAAAUGCGUAGACAUCGUAAGGAAGACCAGUGGCGAAGGCGAAUCUCUGGACAGUUACUGACACUGAGGCACGAAGGCCAGGGGAGCAAACGGG
This 253-nucleotide ribosomal RNA is filed under the name uncultured bacterium. Its description in RNAcentral is "partial 16S ribosomal RNA". It matches the Rfam family "Bacterial small subunit ribosomal RNA", at positions 524 to 776 of the family's 1533-position model. The record is from RNAcentral.